Molecule: long non-coding RNA, 743 nt
Organism: Pseudophryne corroboree (corroboree frog)
Lineage: Eukaryota; Metazoa; Chordata; Amphibia; Anura; Myobatrachidae
Exons: 5
Source: RefSeq, a predicted model, not a curated record
CUCCCCCGGGCCGGCAGCCACCAAUGACGUGCUGUGAGGAGGCUUCCCUUCCUGUGCUGCAGCUGCACACUCAGAAGAGGCUCCAAGCUAAAGACAAGACUUGUUCAAGAAUUGUGCCCUGAAUAUUUGAUGAUUUGUUCUGCAUACAGAUUGAACAGAUAUGGAAUCUUUAAGAAGAAAUACAAGGAGAGAGAGGAAGCAUACAGUAAUGGUUGUUCACAUAUACCUGCAUGCCCCCCAUCAUUUUACAAAAAAAAAUUGUUACAAAUUAGGAAAGGGGCGUGGCUACAGGUAAAGGGGGCAUGGCCACGCCCCCUUUCCUAUACUUUCAAUGGAAAAAUGGAGAGUCAAAAAUCGGUACAGACCACAGAAAAAAGGUACAGUUGGAGGGGGACAGCAGCAUUACAGCAACGCUACUGGGUGCAGACAUGUAGUCAGGUGCUGCUUGCUGCUGGAGAGCCGGGAUCCAGGGGCCUGGAGGCGGUGCAUCAGGGCUAUGAGGAGCGGCUGUGGGGACGUCACUCGGGAUCCACAGUUACAUCCGCCUCCUAUAUGCCUUCACAUGACUUGAUGUUACACAUAGUUCUACACAAAAGAUACAGAAGGGAAGUAUUGUCUUUCUCUUUCAUGUUUAAGUGAUUUCAAGUGGUAAAAUGAUUUGUUUAUUAUUCUAGGUUAUAGAAUCUUUGGUCACUACCCCAUUUCAAUUUAUUGUAAAUACAAUAAAAAUAUAUUGUAAGAUU